AUGUUGGUCGUCGCCGCCGCCGCCGUGGUGGUGGGGACUCACGGCGGGGUUAACAAAGGGGUUCCAACUGAUGUAUGCCUCGGAUCUGGUGCAUAUAUGCCUCGGAUCCUACGUGCAGCAGGUGAGCAGUUCUUCGCUGUUCCGGCCUCUACUUCGUUGUCUGUUCGACCUCGAUCGAUCUGCACAACUUUUUGUCCAUGA
RNAcentral lists this ribosomal RNA (201 nucleotides) under Triticum aestivum (bread wheat). RNAcentral's name for it is "partial small subunit ribosomal RNA". The record is from RNAcentral. Lineage: Eukaryota; Viridiplantae; Streptophyta; Magnoliopsida; Poales; Poaceae.